UUAGUGGCGAACGGGUGAGUAACACGUGGGCAAUCUGCCCUGCACUCUGGGACAAGCCCUGGAAACGGGGUCUAAUACCGGAUACGACCACUGAGGGCAUCCUCGGUGGUGGAAAGCUCCGGCGGUGCAGGAUGAGCCCGCGGCCUAUCAGCUUGUUGGUGGGGUGAUGGCCUACCAAGGCGACGACGGGUAGCCGGCCUGAGAGGGCGACCGGCCACACUGGGACUGAGACACGGCCCAGACUCCUACGGGAGGCAGCAGUGGGGAAUAUUGCACAAUGGGCGAAAGCCUGAUGCAGCGACGCCGCGUGAGGGAUGACGGCCUUCGGGUUGUAAACCUCUUUCAGCAGGGAAGAAGCGAAAGUGACGGUACCUGCAGAAGAAGCGCCGGCUAACUACGUGCCAGCAGCCGCGGUAAUACGUAGGGCGCGAGCGUUGUCCGGAAUUAUUGGGCGUAAAGAGCUCGUAGGCGGCUUGUCACGUCGGUUGUGAAAGCCCGGGGCUUAACCCCGGGUCUGCAGUCGAUACGGGCAGGCUAGAGUUCGGUAGGGGAGAUCGGAAUUCCUGGUGUAGCGGUGAAAUGCGCAGAUAUCAGGAGGAACACCGGUGGCGAAGGCGGA
RNAcentral lists this ribosomal RNA (619 nucleotides) under Streptomyces sp. I12A-01971. RNAcentral's name for it is "bacterial SSU rRNA". It matches the Rfam family "Bacterial small subunit ribosomal RNA", at positions 92 to 725 of the family's 1533-position model. Lineage: Bacteria; Bacillati; Actinomycetota; Actinomycetes; Kitasatosporales; Streptomycetaceae. The record is from RNAcentral.